Molecule: ribosomal RNA, 301 nt
Filed under: uncultured bacterium
Lineage: Bacteria
Description: bacterial SSU rRNA
Rfam family: Bacterial small subunit ribosomal RNA
Source: RNAcentral
GCUCAGGACGAACGCUGGCGGCGUGCUUAACACAUGCAAGUCGAGCGGUAAGGCCCUUUCGGGGGUACACGAGCGGCGAACGGGUGAGUAACACGUGGGUGACCUACCCCUGAGUCCAGGAUAACCUACCGAAAGGUGGGCUAAUACCGGAUAUGACCACGGGGAGUCUCGAUCCCUGAGGUGAAAGGUGGCCUCUGUUUACAUGCUACCGCUCGUCGAUGGGCCUGCGCGCCAUUAGCUAGNGGGUGGGGUAACGGCCCACCAAGGCGAUGAUGGCUAGCUGGUCUGAGAGGAUGGCCAG